ACAGCAGUAGCCGCGGUAAUACGUAGGUGGCGAGCGUUGUCCGGAAUUAUUGGGCGUAAAGGGAGCGCAGGCGGACAUAUAAGUCCAUCUUAAAAGUGCGGGGCUCAACCCCGUGAGGGGAUGGAAACUGUAUGCCUUGAGUGCAGGAGAGGAAAGCGGAAUUCCCAGUGUAGCGGUGAAAUGCGUAGAUAUUGGGAGGAACACCAGUGGCGAAGGCGGCUUUCUGGACUGCAACUGACGCUGAGGCUCGAAAGCCAGGGGAGCGAACGGGAUUAGAUACCCCAGUAGUCCCUGUCUCUUAUACA
RNAcentral lists this ribosomal RNA (305 nucleotides) under uncultured bacterium. RNAcentral describes it as "partial 16S ribosomal RNA". It matches the Rfam family "Bacterial small subunit ribosomal RNA", at positions 506 to 809 of the family's 1533-position model. The record is from RNAcentral.